UACGGGGGGGGUAAGCGUUGUUCGGAAUUACUGGGCGUAAAGGGCUCGUAGGCGGCCAACUAAGUCAUACGUGAAAUCCCUCAGCUUAACUGGGGAACUGCGUGUGAUACUGGAUGGCUUGGAUUUGGGAGAGGGAUGCGGAAUUCCAGGUGUAGCGGUGAAAUGCGUAGAUAUCUGGAGGAACACCGGUGGCAAAGGCGGCGUUCUGGACUGCAACUGACACUGAUGAACGAAAGCCAGGGGAGCAAACGGG
RNAcentral lists this ribosomal RNA (253 nucleotides) under uncultured bacterium. Its description in RNAcentral is "partial 16S ribosomal RNA". It matches the Rfam family "Bacterial small subunit ribosomal RNA", at positions 524 to 776 of the family's 1533-position model. The record is from RNAcentral.